CCCAAAGCUUGAGUAACCAUUCGUCAAAGUCCACAAAUGGUUCUUCUGUCGCCGCUGUCGGAGAGCCACCGGUUACCAUAAGCUGGAAUCUUCCCCGGCAAAAUCUCAAAGCGGAAAGAAACACUGAAACAGCGGGAUCUCCUCUCUGCACGAUGCAUCCGGCAUUUCUCAGCGGUCAUUUUCCGGCGGAGGAGGGGAAUUUGGGCACCAUCGUCGUGAAUCCUCCUCCAUCGGAGCGGGGCGCUUCUGAACGCUUCAUUUUUCUAACUACAUAUCUGUUUAAUUCUAGCUUUAAUUACCAUUUGAAAGUUAAUUGUUGGAUCUAGUUUGUUAUAUAAUUAUUUGAUAAUGAUUAAGAAAAGGUUUGUAUACACUUUUGAUACGAUCUGAAGAAAACGGGGAUAAGGUUUUGGGUUGAUUUGGAGAGAGCGCCUAUUUGAAAAUGUGAUGGAUUGAAUUGAAAAAUAUAAAAAAAA
RNAcentral lists this long non-coding RNA (476 nucleotides) under Erythranthe guttata (spotted monkey flower). RNAcentral's name for it is "long non-coding RNA (EGUT_LNC002682)". The record is from RNAcentral. Lineage: Eukaryota; Viridiplantae; Streptophyta; Magnoliopsida; Lamiales; Phrymaceae.